Molecule: ribosomal RNA, 347 nt
Filed under: uncultured bacterium
Lineage: Bacteria
Description: bacterial SSU rRNA
Rfam family: Bacterial small subunit ribosomal RNA
Source: RNAcentral
GGGCCCGCACAAGCGGUGGAGCAUGUUGUUUAAUUCGAAGCAACGCGCAGAACCUUACCUGGAUUUGACAUCUCGGGAAUCUUCCUGAAAAGGAAGAGUGCCUUCGGGAACCCGAUGACAGGUGCUGCAUGGCUGUCGUCAGCUCGUGUCGUGAGGUGUUGGUUAAGUCCCGCAACGAGCGCAACCCCUAUCGUUAGUUGCUAGCAGUUCGGCUGAGCACUCUAGCGAGACUGCCGGUGUUAAACCGGAGGAAGGUGGGGACGACGUCAAGUCCGUCAUGGCCUUUAUGUCCAGGGCUACUAACGUGCUACAAUGGUCGGUACAGACGGUCGCGAACUCGCGAGAGU